AUGCUGAAGAAAGAUGGGUUUCAAUGGGGUACUGCUCAAACACAAGCUUUUCAACAAUUAAAAAGAGCUAUGACCACCUGCCCUGUAUUAGCACUACCAGACUUCACUGUACCUUUCACCAUUGAAGCGGAUGCUUGUGCAAAAGGAUUGGGAGCUGUACUCAUGCAAAAAGGAAGGCCAAUUGCAUUUCUCAGCAAAAGUCUGGGGCCAAAAUCUGCAGCACAAUCAAUAUAUGAAAAAGAAGCCAUGGCAAUUUUAGAAGCAUUAAAAAAAUGGAGACAUUAUGUUUGGGGAAACAAAUUGAUCAUUAAGACAGAUCAACAUUCCCUAAAAUAUAUGACAACUCAGAGGCUGACUGAAGGAGUUCAACACAAAUUGUUGUUGAAAUUGCUCGAAUAUGAUUACACCAUUGAGUACAAGAAGGGGAAAGAAAAUGUAGUGGCUGAUGCUCUUUCAAGGAGGGAUACACUUCACUCUAUACACAGUCAGAACACUACUAUCAUUAUCCCUGAGUGGACUGAAGAUGUGCUUCAAAGCUAUCAAGGAGAUAAGGAUAGUGAUAAACUGCUGAAGAAGGUGGCUGCUGAUACAGAAGAAACCCCAAAAUUUUCUACGCACAAUGGACUCCUGAAAUACAAGAACAUAAUUUAUGUGGGUGCUAGCACUGAGUUCAGAAAGCAACUCUUACAAACUUUUCAUUCUUCUGCUCUUGGAGGUCAUUCUGGAAGUAAAGCUACUUAUUACAGAAUCAAGAAGGUUUUCUAUUGGCCCAAUAUGAAGAAACAGAUAGAAGAGUUUGUCAGCCAGUGUCCUGUGUGUCAGUUAAACAAGGUGGAACACAUACACCCUCCGGGGUUACUACAACCUCUUCCAAUACCUGACAUGGCUUGA
This 891-nucleotide ribosomal RNA is filed under the name Triticum aestivum (bread wheat). RNAcentral's name for it is "partial small subunit ribosomal RNA". The record is from RNAcentral. Lineage: Eukaryota; Viridiplantae; Streptophyta; Magnoliopsida; Poales; Poaceae.